GCUUGUUCUGCGGGGGCACGCACCGCACCGCGUUGCUGAUGCGGCAAUCGAUCAGUUCGAGUCCGUCGUCCGGGCG
RNAcentral lists this transfer RNA (76 nucleotides) under Nitrobacter winogradskyi. RNAcentral's name for it is "tRNA-Ser". Lineage: Bacteria; Pseudomonadati; Pseudomonadota; Alphaproteobacteria; Hyphomicrobiales; Nitrobacteraceae. The record is from RNAcentral.